GAUGAACGCUAGCGGCAGGCUUAAUACAUGCAAGUCGAGGGGCAGCAGGACUGUAGCAAUACAGUUGCUGGCGACCGGCACACGGGUGCGGAACACGUACGCAACCUACCCAAAACUGGGGGAUAGCCCGGGGAAACCCGGAUUAAUACCUCGUAACCUUUUUAAGUGGCAUCACUUGAUAAGUAUAGCUCCGGCGGUUUUGGAUGGGCGUGCGCCUGAUUAGGUAGUUGGUGCGGGUAACGGCCCACCAAGCCUGCGAUCAGUAACUGGUGUGAGAGCACGACCAGUCACACGGGCACUGAGACACGGGCCCGACUCCUACGGGAGGCAGCAGUAAGGAAUAUUGGUCAAUGGACGCAAGUCUGAACCAGCCAUGCCGCGUGAAGGAUGAAGGUCCUCUGGAUUGUAAACUUCUUUUAUGGGGGACGAAACCCGGAUAUUCUUAUCCGAUUGACGGUACCUCAGGAAUAAGCACCGGCUAACUCCGU
This 488-nucleotide ribosomal RNA is filed under the name uncultured bacterium. Its description in RNAcentral is "partial 16S ribosomal RNA". It matches the Rfam family "Bacterial small subunit ribosomal RNA", at positions 28 to 506 of the family's 1533-position model. The record is from RNAcentral.